This 392-nucleotide ribosomal RNA is filed under the name uncultured bacterium. Its description in RNAcentral is "partial 16S ribosomal RNA". It matches the Rfam family "Bacterial small subunit ribosomal RNA", at positions 523 to 918 of the family's 1533-position model. The record is from RNAcentral.
AUACGGAGGAUCCGAGCGUUAUCCGGAUUUAUUGGGUUUAAAGGGUGCGCAGGCGGCCAUUUAAGUCAGCGGUUAAAUCGUGGGGCUCAACCCCAUUCUGCCGUUGAUACUGGGUGGCUUGAUUGCGGUCGAGGUUGGCGGAAUUCGUUGUGUAGCGGUGAAAUGCAUAGAUAUGACGAAGAACACCGAUUGCGUAGGCAGCUGACCAGACCGCAAAUGACGCUCAUGCGCGAAAGUGCGGGGAUCGAACAGGAUUAGAUACCCUGGUAGUCCGCACAGUAAACGAUGAAUACUUGUUUUCGGCGAUAUAAUGUCGGAGGCAAAGCGAAAGCGAUAAGUAUUCCACCUGGGGAGUACGCCGGCAACGGUGAAACUUAAAGGAAUUGACGGGG